UUUUACUCAAAAGGGAUUUUUAUGUAGCAUAAAACAUACAAAUCAAAGCAAAAAAACCUCUAGCAUAAAACUCAAAUUUAAUAAAAUUUGAGUUUUAUUAAAAUCAAAUACUCAAAAAAAGCUCUUUCUAUGUGCUCUAUCGUUGAAGCUGAAAGAAGAACCUGAAAGAGUUUACUAGAUGGGGAAGGACGCAAAGGCUGGUGGGAAGGGUAAGGGAAAGCAAGCCAGUGGCAGUGAUGAAGCUCCUCCAAGGGGAAAGGAAAAUCAGGAAAGGCUGCUGAUGGUCUCGGGACAUGCACCUAUGUGAAAGCGAGACAUGUACUAUGCGAAAAGCAAGGAAAGAUCAACGGUGACAAGGUUCCUCCUGCUGAGUUUGCAAAGGCCAAUGAUGCUUCCUGUUUUCUUGUUUAUGAAUUGAAACAUCCAACCUAAGAUCGUGCCAGUGAUUUUGUUCUUCCAUCUCUAGCUGUGACAUGUUCAUAACAGCUGAAAAACCCAUUUCAAUACCUCAAACUGAGACAUGCAAGUUUCAGUUUUUCGGCUAGCUAUAUGUACAUAGAUGUGUGUGUAAUAAUAAAUAAUGGUGGAGAAUCUCAUAACGAUUUGUUUGUCUCAGAUUGCAGCAGAGUACUUGGAGGGCCCAUCAGGGAAAAAAGGAGGAGAUCUUGGAUGGUUCCCAAGGGAUAAGAUGGCUGGUCCUUUCCAAGAUGUCGCCGUCAACACACCUGUUGGCGUCACUAGUGCAUCUUUCAAAUCUACGCGCAGAUACCAUAUCAUCUUCCCCGAAGGAAGGAAGAACUGACUGAUUACUUACUUCUCUGUUCUGGCUCUGCUUUGGUGGAACUCACUUGCUAGUUGUUGAUGUAACCUAUAUAUAAGAAAUCCACAGCCUUUGUUAUCCUGGCCAAUAUGUUUGCUACGAAUUGUUUAAAAAAUCUUCUCUGAUGUUUUUACUAAUGAAUUUCUUAAGACUCGUUCAUUUCGGUGUU
Brassica napus (rape) is the source of this 989-nucleotide long non-coding RNA. RefSeq lists it as uncharacterized. NCBI's taxonomy places the organism in Eukaryota, Viridiplantae, Streptophyta, Magnoliopsida, Brassicales, Brassicaceae. The transcript is spliced from 4 exons. The record is from RefSeq and is a predicted model, not a curated record.